Molecule: long non-coding RNA, 532 nt
Filed under: Mytilus galloprovincialis (Mediterranean mussel)
Lineage: Eukaryota; Metazoa; Mollusca; Bivalvia; Mytilida; Mytilidae
Source: RNAcentral
CUCUAAAACGACAAUAGAUAUCUCAAAUCUGUUAAAUGAUAAAUGAUCUACAGUUGAAGGACAACAUUAUAGAAAAAAAAUUGGGACAAUUUCAAAGUUCAACAAGGUCACAAUUAAUCAUCAAAUAUAUGAUGCAAUACCAAACUUGAGAACCGGAAGUCGUAGAGACAUGGGACUAUCACCAUUCAACUCAGGACCACUUGAUCUUUCAAAUAUCACAAGGUCAAGGUCAUAGUAUAAUGUGAAGGUCAAGGUGAAAUUUCAUCAUGACCUGACAUUGAUCUCAAAUUGAAGGUCUUGAACUACUGAUCAUCUUUGCAGUUUAUAGUAGGUUGAUAUCUGUUACCUUUAAAAAGAUAUACACAUAAUACUAUACUUUUAAGAAUCAUCCCGUCGUAACUUUUGAACAGACAGUCGGUCUCUUUUGAGCUUAGUGUAUAAAUGUAGCCUCGUCGAGAGGAACAUUUUAUAUGCUGUAAGUAUGCAGCAAACUCUUAUCGUUUUCUUAAUAUGAAAGCUUGAAAUUGCAGCG